This 39-nucleotide non-coding RNA is filed under the name Trichobilharzia regenti. The record is from RNAcentral. Lineage: Eukaryota; Metazoa; Platyhelminthes; Trematoda; Strigeidida; Schistosomatidae.
AUCACCAGUCCCAAAUAGGACGAAAUGCGCAUCCUGGAU